Rhinolophus ferrumequinum (greater horseshoe bat) is the source of this 79-nucleotide small nucleolar RNA. The record is from Ensembl. NCBI's taxonomy places the organism in Eukaryota, Metazoa, Chordata, Mammalia, Chiroptera, Rhinolophidae.
GAUCAAUGAUGAAACAGCCAAGUCUGAGCAUCAGAAGACCUUUUUGUCCACCUGAGGCAUAAUCUCUGUAGUUGUGAGA